AUAUCUAUAUCUAUAUCUAUAUCUAUAUCUAUCAUCUAUUCUUUAUUCAUUCAUCUAUCGAUGGACACAGGGGUGUAAAUCUUCAUUGUGCAAACUGCCUUGUGCAUUGUGGGACAUUCAGCAUCUCUGGCCCCUAGAACCCAAUGCCAGAUCACCUCUCAUUGUUGCUACAAUGAAACAAAGACUCUAACACAUUUUCAAACGCUCUAGGAGCAUCUCCAUUGGACUGAGUGAUUCCUCAGGAUCUUCCAGCUUGGAUAUUCUUAGAAUCCUCUGGUUGGUGUGUCGGGACCACUGGUGGCCCAGAACCACGCAGAGGCCUGGAUGGUGGGUCAAUGAUGCAGAAAAAGCCAGAACCAAACUUGAGACAACGCCCAUGCCAUGACCUGAGACCUGAGGACAGAACUAGUGUCCAGCGUCCCAGUCUUCCAAGGGGACACAAACUCCCAGCUGGCCCUGGCUGGCUUCAAACCUGAGGGGCUUUGGUCCACCCUGAUGGACAGGAGUCCUGGCAUCUCUGGGGCUGGAAUGAGACCACCCCGAUCUUGUACAUGUCCUGGGACCAUAGUUCAUCUGGUAUGAAGUGUCAGAGCUUUGGUGACUGAUAAAGGAGGAACUUGGAAGGAGAAGAAUUCGUCAAUAUUUAUCCAACAGGGUCCAGGAGAGGCGGCUCUGAAUCGAGACAACUGGUCAAGCAGACAUUCGUCAAGCGUCUCUUAUGUGCCAGGCACCAGGAAAACAAUACAAGAAACAGCACACACAGCCCUGGACCUCACGGUGCUUACAGUCUGUUAGGGAGGCACCACGAACAGAGCAAUCUCACAGUCUGGCAGGGUCCGUUCUGAGUCUGGGUUCUGUUCUGGCUGUGAUGCGCGGGGCCGCAUUCCCUGUGAAUGUGCCGGCAAAGAGUUCGCACGUCCCGUCUGCAUAUCCUGGACCAGGUACUGGCAGAACGUGAGUACCACGAGGACAGAGACUUUGGCUGAUGUUUCCACUCCCGUGGCCCCAGUGCCCAGAGCCGUGCGUGGCACAGAACAGAGAUCCAGAAGUUUCCAAGGCCAAGGCAGUGGAGUCUCUAGGGGACAAAUGCCAGCAUGAGUGAGUGUGUGUGUGUGUGUGUGAGCGUGCAUGUGCAUUUGGGACAGAGGACGGUGAGGUUCCCUGAGGGAAAUCGAGAACAAUCGUCUCCCCUGGGGCUGUGGCUCCCCAGGCUGCCUGGAUGUGUAAGUGAGGAGGCAGCGCCUCCUUUGCCUGGUGACCCUGGGUGGCUGGGCUGAACACGGGUCUUUCUCAGCACGCUGGAGCACAGUCCAUCUGUCCCCAAGGAGGGACUGGGGUGCUCCGGCUGUUAUCCCACUUUGGAGGGACCCCGGGCCCAGGCCUACUUCAUAUUGGUGCCAUUUUUUCUUCCCUCUGUGGCACCGGCCGGCUCCCCUCCUCACUCCUGCCUUCCUGUCACCAGUGCCUGAUGGGCCCCCUCCCACCUGCAUUCCCUGUUGGCACCAAAUUUUCACACUUGUGGCUUUAGUGGCUCUGUAGGGUUCCCCCUGUCUCCUUAAGUGGGGUAGCAUAGCCUACUCGGGCUUUUGGUGCUCAGCCCCCCACCACUGCCACUCUGGUCUUUGUCCUAGGCCCAGUGAAAAGGAUUCCAGAAAAAAGUUGCAGAGGCUCCCGCUCCUCCCACUGGGGAAGGGCCCUCUCAUUCUCCCCUCAUCCAACUCUCCCCCCAGCUGAGGGGCCCAGUGCCAGAGAACCCUACUUGACUUCUGGCUGGGGUACCGUGGCUGGUAGGGAGGUUUGCAUAGACUCAGCUUUGGAUCCAGGCCCCCACCCAGACUCAGUGGGGUUACCUAGUGUUGGAAGGAUGCUCCCUAUCGGUUCAAGCCCCCCACCCUGUUUCCCCUGGGCCCUGCUCCCUAUACCCGGAAGGCCCACAACCACUGCCCCAUCCUCAGAGCUGUCAGAACCCCCAGUUCUAAAGCUCCCAACCCUGGCAGGACCCCAGAAUAUUUGCAAGUGAAGGAUUUCAGGGAUCAGAGGUUUAUGAAGUGCGUUGUUCACAGUGCCCUGGGCUGAUCGGUGUGUGUGUGUGUGUGUGUGUGUGUGUGCCCGUGUGCAUGAGAUGGACAGGGCCCCCACUCCUAUUUUGACCACAGAACCCCAAACCUUUUUUGUGUUACCAGUGGAGAGACUACAUAAAUUACUAUUUAAACAAGAGAACCCAUUAUUUAAAAAAAGAAAUGUUUGAAAACCAUGAAAACUGGACAAAACUCAUCUCACAUCCUGGGAAACUGAGGCCCAGAGGAGCAAAUGGCUUCUCAAGGUCACAGUGGGAUCAGGGGCAGAGCUGGUACCAUCCCAGGCCACCUGGCUCAUAGGCUGAUGUUUUUGCCAAGACCAGGCCGACAUGUCCCUCUCAUGAGGUGGCAACUGGGGGUGGCGUGCCAGGAAGGCCCCAUCCAGAGAAGCAGGUUAAGGUCACAGCCUCCCCACCCCACAGGCCCCCUGGCAAGUGCCUGGGAGAAUAGUUGCAUGGGAAAGGUGGCUCAUUUCUUAACUGGAGGCUUGAGAUUUUGAAGUGGGAAGGGGCAGGAAGAGGGAGGAAGAGCAGAGAGGGGAGCAGGGGACAGGGGUUCGUCCUCUGGGUCCCUUACACCCCUCCCCCAAUCAGAGCACCAAAUGCCCUCCCGCCAGUUUGAGACUGCUUCUACAUUCCCCCACGGUCACUCUGCCAGGUCCCCAUAGGAGGAGGAGGAAGGCUGCUUCAAGGCCCUCCCCCCUGCCCCUUAGCCUGCGACCCACUGGAAACAGCCCCUGACCCCAAGCACCUGAUUUCCAAGCAGAGGGAACUUGUGCCAGGCAUAGAGGGGGCUGGGUGGCCUUGGGGUGAUGGCAUCUGAGGUGGGAAAGCUGUGAAGCUGGGUGGGGAUUUCUGUCUCAGGGGUCCUGUGCAAUCCCCCCCCCCCCCCCCCCAGCGACAACACAGAAAUGGCACGGUAGGGGGCUCUGUGGCACUCACUGUGCCUCCCCUCAGUGUCCAGAUGGGCACCGGGGGAAAAUGCUAUUGAAUGAAUGUGUCCAUCUCUCCCCCAGCCCCUCCACAGUCACCGGCCUCUCCUCUCCCCACAUCCCUGCCCUUUAGUGACUACAAGGACUGGGUUAUUCUUAGUAGGUUUCAUUCAUCAAAGCGUGACAAACGAUGUCCUGGGAGGAAUGCCUGUGUGCUGCCAGAGCCAGAGGGCUGGGGUGGGGUGCAAAGGCCCCAUCUGAGAGGGGAAUUAAAUGCCUUGAAGGAGGGGCGCCUGGGUGGCGCAGUCGGUUAAGCGUCCGACUUCAGCUCAGGUCACGAUCUCGCGGUCUGUGAGUUCGAGCCCCGCGUCGGGCUCUGGGCUGAUGGCUCAGAGCCUGGAGCCUGUUUCCGAUUCUGUCUCUCCCUCUCUCUCUGCCCCACCCCCGUUCAUGCUCUGUCUCUCUCUGUCUCAAAAAUAAAUAAACAUUAAAAAUUUAAAAUAAAUAAAUAAAAAAUGCCUUGAAGGAGCUCCAGACUGCAGGGGAGACAUAGUCUUGCCCUCAGGGAGCCCCAGUCUGAGGGGGGAGACAUAGCCCUGCCCCCAGGGACUCCAGUCUGAGGGCGGAGACCAGUCUGUCCUCAGGGAGCCCCAGUCUGAGAAGGAAGACACAGUCCUGCCCUCUGGGAGCUUCCUGCGAUGGGGGAUACUACCCUCACACCCCACUCCCCAAACCCUCAGUGAGAUCCUAGACUGAAAGGAAGCGAUCCAAUAUUCUGCCCUCAAGGAACCUCUAGUUGCAUGGCAGAAAAACAUCUGUCAUCCCUGUUGGAGAAGGCAUACCCAAGGCACAGAUUGAAACUCAAGAUGAAAAAAGGUGGUAUGAGAGGGGUUUCCAGAAGCACGUGCAGCCCCCACUGCCACCACAUGUGGGAAGCCUAAAGAGGGGCUCUCAGGGACAUUCACCUGGGCGUGCUUACCAAGAAACAUGCACAGACUACCAGGGGGUGCACUACGGUGCAGACUGAGAUCCUGGCACCCGAGGAAAGGUUAAAGGCUAGGCCAAGUGGGCUGGUCUAAAUCGGGGGUCUCAAACCCGAAUGCCUUUGGGGACUAGUCUGACACUGGCCUUUGCCAAUGGGGAGGGCGAUCAGAUGGCCCACACUGUCUGUAAGCUCUCAUACUCAGUACAAAAA
Felis catus (domestic cat) is the source of this 4204-nucleotide long non-coding RNA. RefSeq lists it as uncharacterized. The transcript has 5 exons. NCBI's taxonomy places the organism in Eukaryota, Metazoa, Chordata, Mammalia, Carnivora, Felidae. The record is from RefSeq and is a predicted model, not a curated record.